GACGAACGCUGGCGGCGUGCCUAACACAUGCAAGUCGAACGAAGUGAAGAUUUCGGUUUUCACUUAGUGGCGGACGGGUGAGUAACGCGUGAGUAACCUGCCUUUCAGAGGGGGAUAGCGUUUGGAAACGAACGGUAAUACCGCAUGACAUCAUUGAACUGCAUGGUUCGAUGAUCAAAGGAGCAAUCCGCUGAAAGAUGGACUCGCAUCCGAUUAGCUAGUUGGCGGGAUAACAGCCCACCAAGGCGACGAUCGGUAGCCGAACUGAGAGGUUGAUCGGCCACAUUGGGACUGAGACACGGCCCAG
RNAcentral lists this ribosomal RNA (307 nucleotides) under uncultured bacterium. RNAcentral describes it as "bacterial SSU rRNA". It matches the Rfam family "Bacterial small subunit ribosomal RNA", at positions 28 to 334 of the family's 1533-position model. The record is from RNAcentral.